CCAGCCCUUGUGUUCACCGUAAUCGAACUCAAGUAGCUCCGUAACUUCUUCAAACACGCGAUCGGGGUUUGAUGAUUCGAUUCGUUUGAGUUUCGAUCGUUUGACUGAUUCUAAUCGGAGCCAGAAGAGCUCUUGUAUUGAGCUCUCUUCCGUAGAGUCUACUGUUCGUUUACUGAGGUCAAUCAGCUCAAACUCGAACCCUAGAUUUUGAAGCUUUCGUGCUAAUGACUUGAUUUCAUCAACCCAAUUCGAAUCAUCGCUUCCGAUAUAAGAGAAUUUAGAAGUACCCAUGUGUUGAAUUCAGGAUGAAUGCCAUCAAGCAUGAGCUGCAAGGACAAUGUAUGAUCUUCUUCCCAAAGCUCAUCUUCUUUGGAAGCUGUAAAUGGAUACGCUUUACCACCCCAGAUCAGCACCAUAUCCAUGGCGUUCAUGUUCACAACCUUCCCGUUAGUAUCCAUCACCGCCACCAUCGUCUCGCCAUCUCGGUACGGCCACUCUGUUCUUAGGAAAUUCAGUACUGUGGAGCUCAUCAACCAUGGCCGCUUUACUGAGAUACAUGGUAGAGAGUUGGAGGAGAAGUUGAAGGUUUGCUUCUCUUCUUCUGUCCAUUUUUGGGACGUUGGUAUUGGAAUCCAUAAGAUUUCGGUGUUGGUGUUGGAAGGAUGAUCAUAUAGCUGUUGAAGCAGGAAGUGGAAUGGCUCUGUGGGUAAGAGUUCUGGCUUUGAUAAUAGCAGCAGUAUUACCUUUUCUUUCAGGUCAGUUAUAGCUACCUGCCAUUGGAUGAUUAAAUAAUAUUUGAUUUAGAUAGCGUUUAAAAGGUAGUAUAACUGUUCAUGGAAGGUAGAAGAAUCAGCCUAUGUAGCGUCAUACUGAAUGCUGAGAUGUAUGUGGAGGAUGGAACUUUUAAGGAUUUAAAGUAAAUAGAAUAGACAAAAAAAUCCAAAAGAAGUAAAAUUGUAAAAAGAAAAAGGAUGGUUCUUUAUACCUGUCUGGAGUAUUGUUGAAGACGCAAAUCAUCUUGUAAGGAAAAAAGUAGUUGGAGUACCUCUUGGUUGUCUUGAUGAGUCUCCGUGUUAAUGUUCCUAAGCCUUUGAUAGAUUUUUUCCUCUUUAGACAAGUAAACAGAGAAGCAACAUCAGAGAUGAGUAUUGCCUGAAUUUUAGUUGAAGCUGUGCUUUCGGAACAUCUGAAGCUUACCUAUCUGUGUACUGCAUUCUUCUACUUGCUUGCUGAGACCGGUAUGCAUGCUGCGCAACUGAUAUCCCAAACUGGAAAUUUCCCCUGCAGCACUCCUUGAUUCUGUUGCCUGAGUAUUUCAGAGAAUUCCUAGCCAUGAGAAAACUCAAUGUUGAUAUGCUAAUAUGACAGGAACGGUUUCUUUAUGCUGUUUUUCCUUUUGUAGGGGAUCUGCACCUGUUUGGGCUUUUUGAAACAAAAGAAGUGUAGAAAACAAAUGUACCUGUUGGGGCUGCUUGAAAUAAGGUAUCUGCUGCAGGCAAGCAAGUGCGCUUUUGACGACCCAGUAAGUAGCCAGACGGAUUUUAGACAUGGUUUCUCCCACAAGGUUGCUGUCUAGCUUCGCUUGUUUAAACGGUAGCCUUUCAAACUCAGUGAUGCAUUUGGUUACGUCUACCAGAACUUUAAUGAGCAAGCUUAGAGAGUUUAACCAUGGUCUGAACUUGGUUCUCUCCAUAGGCAACUGGUUGAGUGUUGCAAUUGAUGCUGCCACGGGAUCAUUAGAGCCUAGAUGAAUUGGUAGCAAUAGUCCUCCAUAUGUUGCAGCAAGGGCUCCAAGUACUAACACAGCUUUUGCAUCCCAUCUGUAUUCUUUCAGAAGAUCGAACAAAAACAUUGUUCUUGUAUGGAUCUCGUUUUCCCCCGUGCAUGGACAAAGCAUCUGCAACCUCAAGAGUUUCAAGAUCUCCGCUCCCAGGCAUUUUUAUAAGAAGAAUAUAUUUUAGAAGGAAGAGAUGAUCUGUUACCUGAACAGAGAUUCUGGAGAUAGCGUAUGGUAGUGUUUCCUUUGAAUCAAAAACUUCAAUGUUGGUCAUACAAUUCUCUGUCGGAAGCGGCUUAGAAACCUGAAAAUUAAGUGGCAUUUGUUAUUGGCAAGCAUCUAGACAAGUAGAACAAGCCCAAGGGGGUGGAGAGGAGAGCUCACAUCAGUUUCCAGAACAAAGCUCAAGAUGGCUUCUACUUCUUGAAGCAACGUUUUGGAAUCAAUCCAGCGACCGUCUGGAUCAUGUGUACGGAGUAUCUGCUCAACUAUGAUAUCUUCAUUCAGAGAAGAGAUGCUUCUUGUGGAAUUCAUGGUAAUUAAUGGUUGUGUUGAUGUCUUGUCUCUUGGUUUGCGUGAUCAGAUAUAAGUAGGGUCUCUGAAAUUGAAGAUUGUUCAACAAUCUGACAGGAAUCUUGUACAAAGAUAUGAAACAGUAACUUUAUCUUUUCCAUUAUAAAUUCUUCAUUUCUUUUUCA
Molecule: long non-coding RNA, 2475 nt
Organism: Brassica napus (rape)
Lineage: Eukaryota; Viridiplantae; Streptophyta; Magnoliopsida; Brassicales; Brassicaceae
Exons: 2
Source: RefSeq, a predicted model, not a curated record